This is a non-coding RNA of Dipodomys ordii (Ord's kangaroo rat), 65 nucleotides long. NCBI's taxonomy places the organism in Eukaryota, Metazoa, Chordata, Mammalia, Rodentia, Heteromyidae. The record is from Rfam.
GGUGGCUCAGUGGUAGAGCGCAUGCCUUGCAUGCAUGAGGCCCUGGGUUCAAUUCCUCAGCACCA